Molecule: ribosomal RNA, 253 nt
Filed under: uncultured bacterium
Lineage: Bacteria
Description: partial 16S ribosomal RNA
Rfam family: Bacterial small subunit ribosomal RNA
Source: RNAcentral
UACAGAGGGUGCAAGCGUUGUUCGGAAUUACUGGGCGUAAAGCGCGUGUAGGCGGUCUGAUAAGUCAGAUGUGAAAUCCCUCAGCUUAACUGAGGAACUGCAUCUGAUACUGUUAGACUUGAGUAUCGGAGGGGAUGGCGGAAUUCCUGGUGUAGAGGUGAAAUUCGUAGAUAUCGGGAGGAACACCUGUGGCGAAAGCGGCUCACUGGACCAUAACUGACGCUGAUGCACGAAAGCUGGGGGAGCAAACAGG